RNAcentral lists this long non-coding RNA (329 nucleotides) under Gossypium barbadense (sea-island cotton). Its description in RNAcentral is "long non-coding RNA (GBAR_LNC010131)". Lineage: Eukaryota; Viridiplantae; Streptophyta; Magnoliopsida; Malvales; Malvaceae. The record is from RNAcentral.
CCCAAGUAAGCAAACUUCCUUGAUUGUCUGGUAGUGUCCGAUCCGAGUUUCUUCUGCCAUAAAGAACUUCGAACAAAACGACCCCAAAUGAGUAUACGUCGGAUUUUUCGGUCAGUUCCCCAUGCAUGGUAUAUUCUGGAGCCAUAUAUCCAUAAGUUCCCACAAGCCUACAUGUAUACUUUCUUAUCAAGGCUUUUGACAUGCUAGGAGGACCCAGUUUGGACAAGCCAAAAUCUGAAAGUUUGCAACACCAUUCUUCAUCUAAAAGUAUGUUUGAGCUCUUGAUGUCAUGGUGGAUUACAGCAUGCUUGGCACCGGUGUGCAGGUAA